GUUAUUCGGCUUCGGGAGCCGCAGGGGCCAGACGGCCCAGGGCUCCAUAGACCACGUCUACACGGGUUCCGGAUACCGAAUCCGGGACUCCGAACUGCAGAAGAUCCACAGGGCAGCUGUCAAAGGCGACGCCGCGGAGGUGGAGCGCUGCUUGGCGCGCAGGAGCGGAGACCUGGACGCCCUGGACAAGCAGCACAGAACUGCUCUACACUUGGCCUGUGCCAGUGGCCAUGUGCAAGUGGUCACUCUCCUGGUUAACAGAAAAUGCCAGAUUGAUGUCUGUGACAAAGAAAACAGAACGCCUUUGAUACAGGCUGUCCAUUGCCAGGAAGAGGCUUGUGCCGUUAUUCUGCUGGAACAUGGCGCCAAUCCAAACCUUAAGGAUAUCUACGGCAACACUGCUCUCCAUUAUGCCGUGUAUAGUGAGAGCACCUCACUGGCAGAAAAACUGCUUUCCCAUGGUGCACAUAUUGAAGCACUGGACAAGGACAAUAAUACCCCACUUUUAUUUGCUAUAAUUUGCAAGAAAGAGAAAAUGGUGGAAUUUUUAUUGAAAAGGAAAGCAAGUUCACAUGCCGUUGAUAGGCUGAGACGGUCAGCUCUCAUGCUUGCUGUAUACUAUGACUCACCAGGUAUUGUCAAUAUCCUUCUUAAGCAAAAUAUUGAUGUCUUCGCUCAAGACAUGUGUGGACGAGAUGCAGAAGAUUAUGCUAUUUCUCAUCAUUUGACAAAAAUUCAACAACAAAUUUUGGAACAUAAAAAGAAGAUACUUAAAAAGGAGAAAUCAGAUGUUGGAAGUUCUGAUGAAUCUGCAGUCAGCAUUUUCCAUGAACUGCGUGUGGAUUCAUUGCCUGCAUCGGAUGACAAAGACUUGAAUGUUGCUACUAAGUGUGUCCCCGAGAAAGUGUCAGAGCCUUUACCUGGAUCUUCGCAUGAAAAAGGAAACAGAAUAGUCAAUGGACAAGGAGAAGGGCCUCCUGCAAAACAUCCUUCCUUGAAGCCUAGCACUGAAGUAGAAGAUCCUGCUGUGAAAGGAGCAGUACAAAGAAAGAAUGUACAGACAUUGAGAGCAGAACAAGCCUUACCAGUGGCUUCAGAGGAAGAGCAAGAAAGGCAUGAAAGAAGUGAAAAGAAGCAACCACAGGUCAAAGAAGGAAAUAAUACAAACAAAAGUGAAAAAAUACAACUUUCAGAAAAUAUAUGUGAUAGUACAUCUUCUGCUGCUGCUGGCAGAUUAACCCAACAAAGAAAGAUUGGGAAAACGUAUCCUCAGCAAUUUCCCAAGAAGCUGAAGGAAGAGCAUGAUAGAUGCACCUUAAAACAAGAAAAUGAAGAAAAAACAAAUGUUAAUAUGCUGUACAAAAAAAAUAGAGAAGAAUUAGAAAGGAAAGAGAAACAAUAUAAGAAAGAAGUUGAAGCAAAACAACUUGAACCAACUGUUCAGUCACUAGAGAUGAAAUCAAAGACUGCAAGAAAUACUCCAAAUCGGGAUUUUCAUAAUCAUGAAGAAAUGAAAGGUCUGAUGGAUGAAAAUUGCAUUUUGAAGGCAGAUAUUGCUAUACUCAGACAGGAAAUAUGUACAAUGAAAAAUGACAACUUGGAAAAAGAAAAUAAAUAUCUUAAGGACAUUAAAAUUGUUAAAGAAACAAAUGCUGCCCUUGAAAAGUAUAUAAAACUCAAUGAGGAAAUGAUAACAGAAACAGCAUUCCGGUAUCAACAAGAGCUUAAUGAUCUCAAGGCUGAGAAUACAAGGCUCAAUGCCGAACUGUUGAAGGAAAAAGAAAGCAAGAAAAGACUGGAAGCUGACAUUGAAUCUUAUCAGUCUAGACUGGCUGCUGCUAUAAGCAAACACAGUGAAAGUGUGAAAACAGAAAGAAACCUAAAACUUGCUUUAGAGAGAACACGAGAUGUUUCUGUACAAGUAGAAAUGAGUUCUGCUAUUUCCAAAGUAAAAGAUGAGAAUGAGUUUCUUACUGAACAACUUUCUGAAACACAAAUUAAAUUCAAUGCCUUAAAAGAUAAGUUCCGUAAGACAAGAGAUAGUCUCAGAAAAAAGUCAUUGGCUUUAGAAACUGUACAAAACGACCUAAGCCAAACACAGCAGCAAACACAGGAAAUGAAAGAGAUGUAUCAAAAUGCAGAAGCUAAAGUGAAUAAUUCCACUGGAAAGUGGAACUGUGUAGAAGAGAGGAUAUGUCACCUCCAACGUGAAAAUGCGUGGCUUGUACAGCAACUAGAUGACGUUCAUCAGAAAGAGGAUCAUAAAGAGAUAGUAACUAAUAUCCAAAGAGGCUUUAUUGAGAGUGGAAAGAAAGACCUCGUGCUAGAAGAGAAAAGUAAGAAGCUAAUGAAUGAAUGUGAUCAUUUAAAAGAAAGUCUCUUUCAGUAUGAGAGAGAGAAAACAGAAGGAGUAGUGGUUGUGAGACAACUUCAACAAGAAGUGGCUGACAGCGUAAAAAAAUUAACGACGUUAGAGUCUCCACUGGAAGGUAUAUCACGUUGUCACAUUAAUUUGGAUGAGACACAGGCCUCAAAUAAGAAAUUAUUUCAAGUGAAAAGUCAAAUAUAAGAAACUCCUGGAAAUGACAAUAAAUAUGUUAAAUGUAUUUGGAAAUGAAGACUUUGAUUGCCAUGGAGACUUAAAAACAGAUCAACUGAAAAUGGAUAUUCUGAUUAAGAAGCUAAAACAGAAGUUUGAUGAUCUUACGGCAGAGAAGGAAGCUUUAUCUUCAAAAUGUGUCAAUUUGGCUAAAGACAAUCAAGUUCUUCAACAGGAGUUUUUAUCUAUGAAAAAAGUACAACAGCAAUGUGAGAAACUUGAGGAGGAUAAAAAGAUGUUGAAAGAAGAAAUAUUAAAUCUUAAGACACAUAUGGAAAACAAUAGGGUAGAACUUAGUAAACUACAAGAAUAUAAAUUGGAGCUAGAUGAAAAGGCAGUGCAGGCAGUAGAAAAAUUAGAAGAAAUCCAUUUACAGGAACAAGCACAAUAUGAAAAACAAUUAGAGCAGUUAAACAAGGAUAAUAUGGCUUCACUAAAUAAAAAGGAACUCACACUUAAAGAUGUGGAAUGUAAAUUCUCAGAAAUGAAAACUGCUUAUGAAGAGGUUACAACCGAAUUAGAAGAAUAUAAGGAAGCCUUUGCAGCAGCAUUGAAAGCUAACAAUUCCAUGUCAAAAAAAUUAACAAAAUCAAAUAAGAAAAUAGCAGUGAUCAGCAUGAAGCUCCUUAUGGAGAAAGAGCAGAUGAAAUAUUUUCUCAGUGCUCUUCCUACAAGAUGGAGCUGGACUGUGUAGAACAAAUAACUAGAGAAACAAAGAGAAUUGUUGCUGUGUUGAACACUUGCUCCCGUCUACUUACUUCUCUAUAAUCCACUGCCAUGGAAUGAGUGAUUUUUCUUAGAAGCAGAGGUGGAGCCACUGAGGAAGCACAGGCGAGCCCUCCCCAGCACGUGCUCACUGGUCCCCAACAGAACAACCGCUGCCGCAUCCAUGAGGCUCCCAUUGUGGUGGGUUGUGUCACCCCACAAUGUCACUGUUGCUGAGCCCCCAUCGCCUCUGUGUUGUGGAGCAGUUAGAGACACACUGUGGUGUCUGAGUGGCUCUGCGUGAAGGACCGUUUUCUAGGUGAGAGGCACAUCUCAACACAGCUGACUGAUCAGACUCAGCCGUUUUGCACACCCUGGUCAGAAUGAAACAUUCCUUGGGAACUCGGGCCGUGAGAAGCAUCCUUCCUGAUCACCUGACUGUAGAAACAUCCUUAUCGCACCCUCCCGGGCAAAGGCCCAACAGCCUGACUGCAGGAACAUCCUUGCCAUAUCCUGCCGGGCAGCAAGCUCUACCGCCCACACCCCUCCUUCCCAGUCCCAUGAUCACCCCAGCCUGUGAGAGGCAGUUGGUGCUGGCAGUAAGCUGGUUUCCUCCUCUGCAGGGUUUUGCUAGUAAUAAAGGUGUUG
Long non-coding RNA from Homo sapiens (human), 3952 nucleotides. NCBI's taxonomy places the organism in Eukaryota, Metazoa, Chordata, Mammalia, Primates, Hominidae. The record is from Ensembl.